AGAGUUUGAUCCUGGCUCAGGAUGAACGUUAGCUACAGGCUUAACACAUGCAAGUCGAGGGGAAACGGACAUCGAAAGCUUGCUUUUGUAUGGGCGUCGACCGGCGCACGGGUGAGUAACGCGUAUCCAACCUGCCCACCACUUGGGGAUAACCUUGCGAAAGUAAGACUAAUACCCAAUGACGUCUCUAGAAGACAUCUGAAAAGAGAUUAAAGAUUUAUCGGUGAUGGAUGGGGAUGCGUCUGAUUAGCUUGUUGGCGGGGUAACGGCCACCAAGGCGACGAUCAGUAGGGGUUCUGAGAGGAAGGUCCCCCACAUUGGAACUGAGACACGGUCCAAACUCCUACGGGAGGCA
RNAcentral lists this ribosomal RNA (355 nucleotides) under uncultured bacterium. RNAcentral's name for it is "bacterial SSU rRNA". It matches the Rfam family "Bacterial small subunit ribosomal RNA", at positions 8 to 350 of the family's 1533-position model. The record is from RNAcentral.